AGCAGCCGCGGUAAUUCCAGCUCCAAUAGCGUAUAUUAAAGUUGUUGCAGUUAAAAAGCUCGUAGUUGAAUUUCGGGGUCAGUGAGUUGGUCGUGCCACUGGUAUGCACUGGCUUUACUGAUUCCUCCUUCUUGAAGAACUGUAAUGCUAUUAAUUUAGUGUUGCAGGGAAACAGGACUGUUACUUUGAAAAAUUAGAGUGUUUAAAGCAGGCUAACGCUUGAAUACAUUAGCAUGGAAUAAUGAAAUAGGACGUUUGAUCCUAUUUUGUUGGUUUCUAGGAUUGACGUAAUGAUUAAUAGGGAUAGUUGGGGGCAUUAGUAUUCAAUUGUCAGAGGUGAAAUUCUUGGAUUUAUUGAAGACUAACUACUGCGAAAGCAUUUGCCAAGGAUGUUUUCAUUAAUCAAGAACGAAAGUUAGGGGAUCGAAGACGAUCAGAUACCGUCGUAGU
Molecule: ribosomal RNA, 450 nt
Filed under: uncultured Glomeromycotina
Lineage: Eukaryota; Fungi; Glomeromycota
Description: SSU rRNA
Rfam family: Eukaryotic small subunit ribosomal RNA
Source: RNAcentral